GAAAAGGCAGAUGAGGCGUAAACAAUGGCAUCCUGAGCAUCAAAAGCUAAAGAAAUGAAGACAACUGGCUGGUGGCCUGACAUUAGCUGGAGGUGAGCAACAAAGGAGAAUGCUGGAAUGAUUGGCCUGACUGGGAAGUGCAGAAUCUACUCUAAUGGAAAUAGUGUGAUGUGGGAAGAUGAGAAGCAGAAGCAUCCUCUGCUUUCUGUACAGCAUCCUUGAGAGGAAAGAAGAACGUGUCUGGAAAGCUUGCCUGGGAGUUCAGCACUGCAUUUGGCCUGGUCUGCCGGUCUUUCUGAGCCCCUCAUUACUGAGCUGCAACAUCACCAUCCACAACAAUUCAGAAAUGGCAAUAAAAAACAAGGAAGCUUUUCUUCAGAAGCAGAGAUUUAGGAGUGGUUAUUGACAGCAGUUCAGUCUGCCACACCCAGAAGUCUGUGGAACUGGAGCAUAACAGAGAAAGACAGGACAAGCUGAGAAGAACCAACUGAAAGGAAAAUCUUCAAGUUUGUGGCUAUCAGAGCAAAAGGCAAAAAGGUAGGAUUGCAUCCAUGUGGUUGUUUGUCUUUCACCCACUCACAUUGACUGUAAUGGGACUGCUGGCUCUGUGUCCCUGCCUGUGGGACCCUCACUUUAUAAAGGAGGAAGGGGACAUUAAG
This 659-nucleotide long non-coding RNA is filed under the name Junco hyemalis (dark-eyed junco). RNAcentral's name for it is "lncRNA (ENSJHYG00000012861.1)". Lineage: Eukaryota; Metazoa; Chordata; Aves; Passeriformes; Passerellidae. The record is from RNAcentral.